Molecule: ribosomal RNA, 253 nt
Filed under: uncultured bacterium
Lineage: Bacteria
Description: partial 16S ribosomal RNA
Rfam family: Bacterial small subunit ribosomal RNA
Source: RNAcentral
UACGAAGGGGGCUAGCGUUGCUCGGAAUCACUGGGCGUAAAGGGCGCGUAGGCGGCGUUUUAAGUCGGGGGUGAAAGCCUGUGGCUCAACCACAGAAUGGCCUUCGAUACUGGGACGCUUGAGUAUGGUAGAGGUUGGUGGAACUGCGAGUGUAGAGGUGAAAUUCGUAGAUAUUCGCAAGAACACCGGUGGCGAAGGCGGCCAAUUGGACCAUUACUGACGCUGAGGCGCGAAAGCGUGGGGAGCAAACAGG